AUGGCUCAGAGUGAACGCUGGCGGCAGGCCUAAUACAUGCAAGUCGAACGGCAGCACAGCAGAGCUUGCUCUGUGGGUGGCGAGUGGCGGACGGGUGAGGAUACAUGGGAAUCUGCCCAGUCGUGGGGGAUAACGUAGGGAAACUUACGCUAAUACCGCAUGCGCCCUUCGGGGGAAAGCCGGGGACCUUCGGGCCUGGCGCGAUUGGAUGAGCCCAUGUCGGAUUAGCUAGUUGGCGGGGUAAUGGCCCACCAAGGCGACGAUCCGUAGCUGGUCUGAGAGGAUGAUCAGCCACACUGGAACUGAGACACGGUCCAGACUCCUACGGGAGGCAGCAGUAGGGAAUAUUGGACAAUGGGCGCAAGCCUGAUCCAGCCAUGCCGCGUGAGUGAAGAAGGCCCUCGGGUUGUAAAGCUCUUUUGUCCGGAAAGAAAAGCGCCGGGUUAAUACCCUGGUGUCCUGACGGUACCGGAAGAAUAAGCACCGGCUAACUUCGUG
RNAcentral lists this ribosomal RNA (498 nucleotides) under uncultured bacterium. Its description in RNAcentral is "bacterial SSU rRNA". It matches the Rfam family "Bacterial small subunit ribosomal RNA", at positions 19 to 507 of the family's 1533-position model. The record is from RNAcentral.